UACGUAGGGUGCAAGCGUUAUCCGGAAUUAUUGGGCGUAAAGAGCUCGUAGGCGGUUUGUCGCGUCUGCUGUGAAAACUGGGGGCUCAACCCCCAGCCUGCAGUGGGUACGGGCAGACUAGAGUGCGGUAGGGGAGAUUGGAAUUCCUGGUGUAGCGGUGGAAUGCGCAGAUAUCAGGAGGAACACCGAUGGCGAAGGCAGAUCUCUGGGCCGUAACUGACGCUGAGGAGCGAAAGCAUGGGGAGCGAACAGG
Molecule: ribosomal RNA, 253 nt
Filed under: uncultured bacterium
Lineage: Bacteria
Also listed under: 1 other name
Description: partial 16S ribosomal RNA
Rfam family: Bacterial small subunit ribosomal RNA
Source: RNAcentral